Molecule: small RNA, 2581 nt
Filed under: Pongo abelii (Sumatran orangutan)
Lineage: Eukaryota; Metazoa; Chordata; Mammalia; Primates; Hominidae
Description: retained intron
Source: RNAcentral
CAGCCUCCCAAGUAGCUGGGAUUACAGGUGCAUGCAACCAGGCCUGGCUGAUGUUUGUAUUUUUAGUAGAGAUGGGGUUUCACCAUGAUGGUCAGGCUGGUCUUGAACUCCUGACCUCAGGUGAUCCGCCCGCCUCGGACUCCCAAAGUGCUGGGAUUAUAGGCAUGAGCCACCAUGCCCGGCCGGAUGUGAAUUAUCUUAAAAAUUUUCAGAUAAUUCUAAUGGGCCAAGGUUGAGAACCCCUGAUCUGGGCCCAUCCAAGCACCAGGCUGUCACAAACACAUGCACGCACUCACGCCCGUGGGCUUGGGGGGCUUUGGAAAUGUGCUUCUGCUUUUUUGAGAUGGGGUCUUUCUGUUGCCCAUCCUGGAGUGCAGUGGCACGGUCACAGCUCACUGCAGCCUCGACCUCCUGGCCUCAGGUGAUCCUCCCGCCUCAGCCUCCCGAGUGUCUGCUUCUGGUUUUCAUGAUGACCUGGGGGCCAGGCAUACUACACUUGCUGCUGUUCGGGGGCCAGUCCUGUACCAGGAGCCCAUCAACCACAACUCCGCCGAGAAGCACUGAUAUGCAGAGCUAAGCAGCUUUGUUUCCAUGUGGAUCCUGUGUGGGUUCUCUUGGUCCAUCCGUAGACACCGCACUCCUGCAGAGGAUCUUCUCGGGAUGCCCCACUGUCUCCGUUUUUCCUCUUCACUGAACACUCAGUUGGGGCUCGCCAUGAUGCCUCUGUGUCUGCUGGCGUCUCCCCCAUUGGAACAGCCUUCUUGGCCCGCCACGCUGCUAGCCGCUGGGCACCAUGCUUUCUGCCUUUACCGUUCUGCCGUGAUGUUGCCAAAACAGUAAUAAAAAAAAAAAAAAAAAAAAAAAAAAAAAAAAGGAGGCUGGGCGCAGUGGCUCAUGCCUGUAUUCCCAGCAGUUCGAGAUCAGCCUGGGCAACAUGGUGAGACCCUAUCUCUACAUAAAUAAAAAAUGAAAUGAGCUGGUGGGGUGGCACAUGCAUGCCUGUGGUCCCAGCUACUUGGGAGGCUGAGGUCGGAAGAUCGCUGGAGCUUAACCUUGAGGUCAAGGUUGCAGUGAGCCGAGAUGACAUCACUGCACUCCAGCCUGGGACACAGAGACCCUGUGUUAACAAACAAAUACACAAACCACAAAGGGCAGGUCUGAACUUGUCAUUUAAAAAAAAUUUUAAUAAACUUAAAAAAAAUACAUAUCCACAGAUGCAGGUGAAGAACCUGUUGUCUUCCUCAAGCCUCCUUUUCACCCACGGGUGGAAAUGGUACCCUGGAAGCGCAGGCCCACGAGGUCUUUGGUGGGGUCCCUACACGGGGCUUUAGCUUACACUGUGCUGCCCUCCUGUCCCCCGAGUUCCCAGUCUGUCAAAAUCCAACCUGGUCUCCCAGGCCCAGGGCAAGGGUCACCUCCUCCAUGAAGCCUGCCACAUCCUUUGCGCACCCUCAGGCGCUGACCUUGUUCUCCCAGCGCACAGGCACGGGUACACUUUGCCCCUGUAGUAACUCAGGCACAAAAUGAACUCUUGCUGAGGCUCGGCCGCACAGAGCUGAGGGCUGCUGCUUCCAGGUUCAAGUGCAUUUUGAGUUUCAUUCCCAGCUUCCUUCUUUUUCUGGUCUUUAAUUUCUUCUCCGGAUUAGGUCCCACUCAAUGCUUUCCUUCUCAAUUUCCAAAAGAUGAUGGUCAGAGCCAGCAGCACCCUGCCUUCCCUAUGGGUGGGGAGGCCAGCCUGUGGCAGGGGUGUGGGUCCCAUCUUUUUGAAGGAAUUGACCCACAGUGGGCGGGUCCACCUUUGACCUUGCCCCAGGGAGUGCAGACGGAAAAAAGACCCUUGCUUAGUUUGAGUGAGGGGCCGCCGGGGUGCUCGGUUUGUCUUCAGAGGCCUGUCUGUAACACCAAUGCCACCCUGGUGGCACUGACUGGUCACCCUGAAGGCCACGGCCAGUGUCCUAGGAAGGGACUCAAUUUCUAGCUGUGCCACCUGAGAUUCUGGGGUUAGGCUGGUGCUGCUUCUGAAGUUCCACUGUGCUCAAAGUGCUUGGUGAAAGCGAAGGUGAUUUUACAAAAAUAAAUGCAUAAAAUGUCUAGGAAGCACAAAAAAUCCUCAUUACUCUUCUCUCUGAAUAUUUUUUAAGCCCCAACUGGACCCUAGGCAAAAGUGAGUGGCACUCCUCUGCCAGGACUCCAGGCCAGCCCCGGCAUCUUCUUGCUGCCGUCCCAGACAACAGAAGUUACCAGAUGAACAGACUUGGAUUUGCCAAAGGGGUGGAGAGCUAGAAAGCUUGGUUGUGCCUCUCGAUGAUUAUUAAGAUUUCAAUAUUUACAGCAAAACCACAAAGCAAAUGAUAGAAUAAAGCAAAACGAUGGAAAAUCUGAGUUCACUCAUGAGGUAUGUAUGUGAGCUCUGAGGAAAUUACAGAGGGAACGCAUGCAGCUGGACAGCUCUCCCAAUCGCAGCGUGCAAAGUAGACAUCCAUAGUAUCUUUUGAAAAAUGAAAAACACAUUACUUUGAACAACCAAGAAAAAAAAUUGCAAUUUAUUAAGAUUCAAUAAAGCGUUGUACUUUCGAAAGCA